Molecule: ribosomal RNA, 918 nt
Filed under: uncultured bacterium
Lineage: Bacteria
Description: bacterial SSU rRNA
Rfam family: Bacterial small subunit ribosomal RNA
Source: RNAcentral
GAGUUUGAUCCUGGCUCAGAACGAACGCUGGCGGCGCGCCUAACACAUGCAAGUCGAGCGAUUAAACUUCCUUCGGGAAGAUAUAAAGCGGCGGACGGGUGAGUAAGGCAUAGAUAACCUGCCUCGAAGAGGGGGAUAGCCUGGGGAAACUCGGGUUAAUACCGCGUAAGCUCUUUCGGUGAAUACGAAUGAGUAAAGGCUUCGGCCGCUUUGAGAUGGGUCUAUGUAUGAUUAGCUAGUUGGAGAGGUAAUGGCUCCCCAAGGCUUCGAUCAUUAACUGGUCUGAGAGGAUGAUCAGUCACACUGGAACUGAGACACGGUCCAGACUCCUACGGGAGGCAGCAGUGAGGGAUUUUGCGCAAUGGGCGAAAGCCUGACGCAGCGACGCCGCGUGGAGGAUGAAGUCUUUCGAGAUGUAAACUUCUGUCAGUAGGGAUGAUAAUGACAGUACCUACAGAGGAAGCACCGGCUAACUCCGUGCCAGCAGCCGCGGUAAUACGGAGGGUGCAAGCGUUGUUCGGAAUUACUGGGCGUAAAGCGUACGUAGGCGGCGAGUUAAGUCGAAUGUUAAAGCCCGGGGCUCAACCCCGUGGAUGCCUUCGAUACUGGCUUGCUAGAGGGUGAUAGAGGAAAGUGGAAUUCCGAGUGUAGCGGUGAAAUGCGUAGAUAUUCGGAGGAACAUCAGUAGCGAAGGCGACUUUCUGGGUCACACCUGACGCUGAGGUACGAAAGCGUGGGUAGCAAACAGGAUUAGAUACCCUGGUAGUCCACGCCGUAAACGAUGGAUGCUAGGUGUAGCGGGUAUCAACCCCUGCUGUGCCGAAGUUAACGCGAUAAGCAUCCCGCCUGGGGAGUACGUUCGCAAGAAUGAAACUCAAGGAAUUGACGGGGGCCCGCACAAGCGGUGGAGGAUUGUUG